CGAUAGCGUAUAUUAAAGUUGUUGCAGUUAAAAAGCUCGUAGUUGGAUUUGUGGCGUACGACGGGCUCCGGGCACUUGUUGUCUGAGUAGCUUGUCGUUGCCAUCCUUGGGUGGAACCUGUGUGGCAUUAGGUUGUCGUGCAGGGGAUGCCCAUCUUUUACUGUGAAAAAAUUAGAGUGUUCAAAGCAGGCUUAUGCCGUUGAAUAUAUUAGCAUGGAAUAAUAAGAUAGGACUUUGUCGCUAUUUUGUUGGUUUGCGCGAUAAGGUAAUGAUUAAUAGGGACAGUUGGGGGUAUUCGUAUUCCAUUGUCAGGGGUGAAAUUCUUGGAUUUUUGGAAGACGAACUACUGCGAAAGCAUUUACCAAGGAUGUUUUCAUUAA
RNAcentral lists this ribosomal RNA (380 nucleotides) under uncultured eukaryote. Its description in RNAcentral is "partial 18S ribosomal RNA". It matches the Rfam family "Eukaryotic small subunit ribosomal RNA", at positions 592 to 976 of the family's 1831-position model. The record is from RNAcentral.